RNAcentral lists this ribosomal RNA (441 nucleotides) under uncultured bacterium. RNAcentral describes it as "partial 16S ribosomal RNA". It matches the Rfam family "Bacterial small subunit ribosomal RNA", at positions 338 to 795 of the family's 1533-position model. The record is from RNAcentral.
CCUUCGGGAGGCAGCAGUGGGGAAUAUUGCACAAUGGGGGAAACCCUGAUGCAGCGACGCCGCGUGAGUGAAGACGUAUUUCGGUAUGUAAAGCUCUAUCAGCAGGGAAGCAGCAAGACGGUACCUGACUCAGAAGCCCCGGCUAACUACGUGCCAGAAGCCGCGGUCAUACGUAGGGGGCAAGCGUUAUCCGGCAUUACUGGGGGUAAAGGGAGCGUAGACGGUAUGGCAAGUCUGAAGUGAAAGCCCAGGGCUUAACCCUGGGACUGCUUUUGACACGGUUAGACUAGAGUGCUGGGGGGGUAAGUGGAAUUCCUAGUGUAGCGGUGAAAUGCGUAGAUAUUAGGAGGAACACCAGUGGCGAAGGCGGCUUACUGGACAGUAACUGACGGUGAGGCUCGAAAGCGUGGGGAGCAAACAGGAUUAGAUACCCCAGUAGUC